This 1551-nucleotide ribosomal RNA is filed under the name Salmonella enterica subsp. enterica serovar Bareilly str. CFSAN000189. RNAcentral describes it as "16S ribosomal RNA". It matches the Rfam family "Bacterial small subunit ribosomal RNA". Lineage: Bacteria; Pseudomonadati; Pseudomonadota; Gammaproteobacteria; Enterobacterales; Enterobacteriaceae. The record is from RNAcentral.
AAAUUGAAGAGUUUGAUCAUGGCUCAGAUUGAACGCUGGCGGCAGGCCUAACACAUGCAAGUCGAACGGUAACAGGAAGCAGCUUGCUGCUUCGCUGACGAGUGGCGGACGGGUGAGUAAUGUCUGGGAAACUGCCUGAUGGAGGGGGAUAACUACUGGAAACGGUGGCUAAUACCGCAUAACGUCGCAAGACCAAAGAGGGGGACCUUCGGGCCUCUUGCCAUCAGAUGUGCCCAGAUGGGAUUAGCUUGUUGGUGAGGUAACGGCUCACCAAGGCGACGAUCCCUAGCUGGUCUGAGAGGAUGACCAGCCACACUGGAACUGAGACACGGUCCAGACUCCUACGGGAGGCAGCAGUGGGGAAUAUUGCACAAUGGGCGCAAGCCUGAUGCAGCCAUGCCGCGUGUAUGAAGAAGGCCUUCGGGUUGUAAAGUACUUUCAGCGGGGAGGAAGGUGUUGUGGUUAAUAACCGCAGCAAUUGACGUUACCCGCAGAAGAAGCACCGGCUAACUCCGUGCCAGCAGCCGCGGUAAUACGGAGGGUGCAAGCGUUAAUCGGAAUUACUGGGCGUAAAGCGCACGCAGGCGGUCUGUCAAGUCGGAUGUGAAAUCCCCGGGCUCAACCUGGGAACUGCAUUCGAAACUGGCAGGCUUGAGUCUUGUAGAGGGGGUAGAAUUCCAGGUGUAGCGGUGAAAUGCGUAGAGAUCUGGAGGAAUACCGGUGGCGAAGGCGGCCCCCUGGACAAAGACUGACGCUCAGGUGCGAAAGCGUGGGGAGCAAACAGGAUUAGAUACCCUGGUAGUCCACGCCGUAAACGAUGUCUACUUGGAGGUUGUGCCCUUGAGGCGUGGCUUCCGGAGCUAACGCGUUAAGUAGACCGCCUGGGGAGUACGGCCGCAAGGUUAAAACUCAAAUGAAUUGACGGGGGCCCGCACAAGCGGUGGAGCAUGUGGUUUAAUUCGAUGCAACGCGAAGAACCUUACCUGGUCUUGACAUCCACAGAACUUUCCAGAGAUGGAUUGGUGCCUUCGGGAACUGUGAGACAGGUGCUGCAUGGCUGUCGUCAGCUCGUGUUGUGAAAUGUUGGGUUAAGUCCCGCAACGAGCGCAACCCUUAUCCUUUGUUGCCAGCGGUUAGGCCGGGAACUCAAAGGAGACUGCCAGUGAUAAACUGGAGGAAGGUGGGGAUGACGUCAAGUCAUCAUGGCCCUUACGACCAGGGCUACACACGUGCUACAAUGGCGCAUACAAAGAGAAGCGACCUCGCGAGAGCAAGCGGACCUCAUAAAGUGCGUCGUAGUCCGGAUUGGAGUCUGCAACUCGACUCCAUGAAGUCGGAAUCGCUAGUAAUCGUGGAUCAGAAUGCCACGGUGAAUACGUUCCCGGGCCUUGUACACACCGCCCGUCACACCAUGGGAGUGGGUUGCAAAAGAAGUAGGUAGCUUAACCUUCGGGAGGGCGCUUACCACUUUGUGAUUCAUGACUGGGGUGAAGUCGUAACAAGGUAACCGUAGGGGAACCUGCGGUUGGAUCACCUCCUUACCUUAAAGAA